CUUCCAUCUGCCUAAGCGAAACUGUAAACGGGAUUUUUCCCCCCACAAUUGAAUGGAAGCUCUGUACUGUACCGACUUCUGGAUUUGCCCUGGGUUGAGUUUAGGGAAUGUCUGGAAAGCAAAAAGAGAGGAAAAGAGGAGGGGGGCAGCUCAAGCCCUGUCCAAGUUAGGCAGAAGGCUGUGUUAGGCAGGAAAGAGGCUACGGGAGAAACAGCUGGGAUGCAGACUGGCUGUGGAAAUCUCAGUUCUAGGAACCGUGUCCUUUGGUCCCGGAGUGGUCUGGAACUGAACCCGCAAGAUGUCCAAGAUUAUCUCCAAGCUAACAUCUGCUGCCAAUCCUCCUGUUUUAGCUGAGGAAGACUGGAAGCUGAGCUAACAUCCGUGCCCAUCUUCCUCUACUUUAUAUGUGGGACGCCUACCACAGCAUGGCUUGCCAAGCAAUGCCAUAUCUGCACCCAGAAUCUGAACCGGCAAACCCUGGGCGGCCAAAGCAGAACGUGCGCACUUAACCGCUGCGCCACCGGGCCAGCCCCCCUAAGCUUCUACUUUUAACCUGUUAAAGUGGGUUUCUUGUUGGCAACAUGUAGUUGUGUCUUACCUUUCUAUCCAAUCUGACA
This 617-nucleotide long non-coding RNA is filed under the name Equus asinus (donkey). Its description in RNAcentral is "lncRNA (ENSEASG00005032621.1)". The record is from RNAcentral. Lineage: Eukaryota; Metazoa; Chordata; Mammalia; Perissodactyla; Equidae.